ACGCACCUACGGGGGGCAGCAGUGGGGAAUAUUGGGCAAUGGAGGCAACUCUUACCCAGCAAUGCCGCGUGAAUGAAGAAGGUCUUCGGAUUGUAAAGUUCUUUAAUUGGGGACGAAAAAAAUGACGGUACCCAAGGAAUAAGCCCCGGCUAACUACGUGCCAGCAGCCGCGGUAAUACGUAGGGAGCAAGCGUUAUCCGGAUUUAUUGGGUGUAAAGGGUGCGUAGACGGGAAAUUAAGUUAGUUGUGAAAUCCCUCGGCUCAACUGAGGAACUGCAACUAAAACUGGUUUUCUUGAGUGUUGG
This 305-nucleotide ribosomal RNA is filed under the name uncultured bacterium. RNAcentral's name for it is "bacterial SSU rRNA". It matches the Rfam family "Bacterial small subunit ribosomal RNA", at positions 333 to 652 of the family's 1533-position model. The record is from RNAcentral.